RNAcentral lists this transfer RNA (70 nucleotides) under Roseimaritima multifibrata. Its description in RNAcentral is "Planctomycetes bacterium FF011L tRNA-Val". The stretch from base 6 to 65 matches the Rfam family "tRNA", at positions 7 to 64 of the family's 71-position model. Rfam says of the family: Transfer RNA (tRNA) molecules are approximately 80 nucleotides in length. Their secondary structure includes four short double-helical elements and three loops (D, anti-codon, and T loops). Further hydrogen bonds mediate the characteristic L-shaped molecular structure. tRNAs have two regions of fundamental functional importance: the anti-codon, which is responsible for specific mRNA codon recognition, and the 3' end, to which the tRNAs corresponding amino acid is attached (by aminoacyl-tRNA synthetases). tRNAs cope with the degeneracy of the genetic code in two manners: having more than one tRNA (with a specific anti-codon) for a particular amino acid; and 'wobble' base-pairing, i.e. permitting non-standard base-pairing at the 3rd anti-codon position. Lineage: Bacteria; Pseudomonadati; Planctomycetota; Planctomycetia; Pirellulales; Pirellulaceae. The record is from RNAcentral.
CCGAAGUAGCUCAGUGGGUAGAGCAUCAGAUUAACACUCUGACUGUCACGGGUUCGAAUCCCGUCACGCA